This 664-nucleotide long non-coding RNA is filed under the name Musa acuminata (dwarf banana). RNAcentral describes it as "long non-coding RNA (MACU_LNC000167)". The record is from RNAcentral. Lineage: Eukaryota; Viridiplantae; Streptophyta; Magnoliopsida; Zingiberales; Musaceae.
GAACUUCCAAAGGUGUCACUCUUGGUUCAAAUUCCGUUCCAGUUACAUACAUAACAUUCGACUGAGAAACCAAUGAAUUGAUUUGAUUGGGCAGGCAUCCAGAUCGUUCAGGAGGAAAAACUGUCGGCCCUUCAGAGGUUUUAGAAUUCAAACAACUUGUUACCAAGUCAGCCACAGUGAUUAGCUCACCAGUUUGCUUAUUUUGAAGAGGCCCAGAUUCCUUGGAGUCAGAAGGAAGAGAUUCAGCCUCGGUAAUCACUGAGUUCAUGACAGGUGCCUCAGAAGGAAGAUAUUCAGUUCCUAUGGUCAAGUCAACAAUCUUUGACGGUGGUAGAGUUGAUGGAACUUCCAAAGGUGUCUCUCUUGGUUCAGAUUCAGUUUCAGNNNNNNNNNNNNNNNNNNNNUGAAUCAAUUUGAUUGGGCAGGCAUCCAGAUCCUUCAGGAGGAAAAACUGUAAGCCCAUCAGAGGUUUUAGAAUUCAAACCACUUGUUACCAAGUCAGCCACAGUGAUUAGCUCACCAGUUUGCUUAUUUUGAAGAGGCCCAGAUUCCCUGGAUUCAGAAGGAAGAGAUUCAGCCUCAAUGAUCACUGAGUUCAUGACAGGUGCCUCAGAAGGAAGAGACUCAGAUUCAGUUCCUAUGGUCAAGUCAACUGUCUUUGAAG